This 497-nucleotide ribosomal RNA is filed under the name uncultured bacterium. RNAcentral's name for it is "partial 16S ribosomal RNA". It matches the Rfam family "Bacterial small subunit ribosomal RNA", at positions 28 to 507 of the family's 1533-position model. The record is from RNAcentral.
GACGAACGCUGGCGGCGUGCCUAAUACAUGCAAGUAGAACGCUGAAGAGAGGAGCUUGCUCUUCUUGGAUGAGUUGCGAACGGGUGAGUAACGCGUAGGUAACCUGCCUUGUAGCGGGGGAUAACUAUUGGAAACGAUAGCUAAUACCGCAUAACAAUGGAUGACACAUGUCAUUUAUUUGAAAUGGGCAAUUGCUCCACUACAAGAUGGACCUGCGUUGUAUUAGCUAGUAGGUGAGGUAAUGGCUCACCUAGGCGUCGAUACAUAGCCGACCUGAGAGGGUGAUCGGCCACACUGGGACUGAGACACGGCCCAGACUCCUACGGGAGGCAGCAGUAGGGCAUCUUCGGCAAGGGGGGCAACCCUGACCGAGCAACGCCGCGUGAGUGAAGAAGGUUUUCGGAUCGUAAAGCUCUGUUGUAAGUCAAGAACGGGUGUGAGAGUGGAAAGUUCACACUGUGACGGUAGCUUACCAGAAAGGGACGGCUAACUACGUG